Sphagnurus paluster is the source of this 94-nucleotide non-coding RNA. The record is from the annotation of a GenBank genome assembly. Lineage: Eukaryota; Fungi; Basidiomycota; Agaricomycetes; Agaricales; Lyophyllaceae.
GGGUCGGUGGCGUAGUUGGUUAUCGCAUCUGUCUUACAUUUGUAUGAACGGUCAUCUCCACAGAAGGUCCUCAGUUCGAACCUGGGUCGACUCA